Molecule: ribosomal RNA, 300 nt
Filed under: uncultured Chroococcidiopsis sp.
Lineage: Bacteria; Bacillati; Cyanobacteriota; Cyanophyceae; Chroococcidiopsidales; Chroococcidiopsidaceae
Description: bacterial SSU rRNA
Rfam family: Bacterial small subunit ribosomal RNA
Source: RNAcentral
GCGUGAGAAUCUGGCUUUAGGUUCGGGACAACAGUGGGAAACUGCUGCUAAUACCGAAUGUGCAGAGAUGUGAAAGAUUAAUUGCCUGAAGAUGAGCUCGCGUCUGAUUAGCUAGUUGGUAGGGUAAAGGCCUACCAAGGCGACGAUCAGUAACUGGUCUGAGAGGAUGACCAGUCACACUGGGACUGAGACACGGCCCAGACUCCUACGGGAGGCAGCAGUGGGGAAUUUUCCGCAAUGGGCGAAAGCCUGACGGAGCAAUACCGCGUGAGGGAGGAAGGCUCUUGGGUUGUAAACCUC